RNAcentral lists this unclassified non-coding RNA (337 nucleotides) under soil metagenome. RNAcentral's name for it is "partial contains 5.8S ribosomal RNA, internal transcribed spacer 2, and large subunit ribosomal RNA". The stretch from base 1 to 120 matches the Rfam family "5.8S ribosomal RNA", at positions 35 to 154 of the family's 154-position model. The record is from RNAcentral.
GAUGAAGAACGCAGCGAAAUGCGAUAAGUAGUGUGAAUUGCAGAAUUCAGUGAAUCAUCGAAUCUUUGAACGCACAUUGCGCCCCUUGGUAUUCCAUGGCGCAUGCCUGUUCGAGCGUCAUUUGUACCCUCAAGCUUUGCUUGGUGUUGGGUGUUUGUCCCGCGUUGCGCGUGGACUCGCCUUAAAGCGAUUGGCAGCCGGCAUAUUGGCCUUGGAGCGCAGCACAUUUUGCGCUUCUAGUCAUGAAUGUUGGCGUCCAUUAAGCCUAUACAUUUGCUCUUGACCUCGGAUCAGGUAGGGAUACCCGCUGAACUUAAGCAUAUCAAUAAGCGGAGGA